Molecule: long non-coding RNA, 729 nt
Organism: Nelumbo nucifera (sacred lotus)
Lineage: Eukaryota; Viridiplantae; Streptophyta; Magnoliopsida; Proteales; Nelumbonaceae
Source: RefSeq, a predicted model, not a curated record
AGCUGACAACCAAUCAACUGGUAUCAGAGUUAAGUCUUAGUAUAUUUGGCAAGUAAAAUGCAGUUAGAUCCAAGAAAGCUCUGGGUCCCAGACACAAGAUUAAGUUAUCUCAAAAUGGGUUCCAUUCAUGAAUCAUACUGAUUACUGAAUAUCCUGGUGGAUUAUUGUCAACAGUGUUGGUGAAAUCAAAACAAAUAUGGCAGAGAGAUUCUCCAGAGACCAAGAGAAGGUGAAGCCAUGAAGGGUAACUGGGCAGCAACAAAACAGAAGACCAACGGUUUCUGAAUAUUUUAUUGAUUUCCAAAUACAAAGUGGAGUCCACAGAAUCGUGAUAAGUAGGGAGACAGUCUGGUAAGCGGUUUGGGUUGAGAAGGGGAAGACAGGUCAGUUACUUCAAGUCCCACCGCAGAAAAACACAUGACCAUGCAUCCCUCCUGCUCAGGGGCAUUCUAUCUUUGGUUCGGUUGGUGGGAAUUUGGUGUUUAGGAGCAAGAAAUAACCUUUUGUGGCAGUCAUUUGCGGAGGCCAAGUAUAGGGCAAUGGCUCGGGUGUAUUAGAAUUAUUGUGUAGGUCUCUUUAUCGAGAGUAGGGUAUUACUCAUGAGAAGCCUAUAAUAUUGUAUUCUGAUAAUUAAGCAACUAUCAAUAUAACUCACAGUCUCAUUUAGCAUGAUUGGACAAAACACAUUGAGAUAGGAAAUUCAUACAAAAGAAAGUUGCCCCUCGUGAA